GAAAGCGCCUACAAAUUGCCCCUCUUCCAUCUCUCUAAGGCGCGCGCCCAGCCCAGAGCGGGCCGGGGCACAGGGCGCAGGCGGGAGGUCGCAUCUGCAGCUUUGGCGCAAUGAAUCAGGCACGGCCGCCGCCGCCGAGCGCGUCUGGCAUCCGGAGUCUCCCGGGAUCGAAAAUAAUUUGGGCAAAGCGGUGGGAGAUUCGUCUAAUGCCAACGCCGUGACCUCAGUUUCCCCACAUUUCCAAGACAGCCGCCUUGGCUCCCAAGUUCACCUCAAAUUCAGAGAUCUACCUUCUACUGUCUUCCAAGUUCUGGGAUUAAAACCUGCACAGUCAUUCACAUUUAUUUAUUUAUU
RNAcentral lists this long non-coding RNA (354 nucleotides) under Cricetulus griseus (Chinese hamster). Its description in RNAcentral is "lncRNA (ENSCGRG00015031963.1)". Lineage: Eukaryota; Metazoa; Chordata; Mammalia; Rodentia; Cricetidae. The record is from RNAcentral.